CGACCGGCGCACGGGUGAGUAACACGUAUGCGACCUGCCCGUAGCAGGGGGAUAAGCGGAAGAAAUUCCGUCUAAUACCGCGUAAUAUCUUUCGGGGGCAUUCCUGAGGGAUUAAAGGAAGCGAUUCCGGCUACGGAUGGGCAUGCGGCGCAUUAGCUAGUCGGCGGGGUAAUGGCCCACCGAGGCGACGAUGCGUAGGGGUUCUGAGAGGAAGGUCCCCCACACUGGCACUGAGACACGGACCAGACUCCUACGGAAGGCAGCAG
This 266-nucleotide ribosomal RNA is filed under the name uncultured bacterium. RNAcentral describes it as "partial 16S ribosomal RNA". It matches the Rfam family "Bacterial small subunit ribosomal RNA", at positions 92 to 354 of the family's 1533-position model. The record is from RNAcentral.